This is a long non-coding RNA of Melopsittacus undulatus (budgerigar), 717 nucleotides long. RefSeq lists it as uncharacterized. NCBI's taxonomy places the organism in Eukaryota, Metazoa, Chordata, Aves, Psittaciformes, Psittaculidae. The transcript has 3 exons. The record is from RefSeq and is a predicted model, not a curated record.
GGGCGGUGUCAAUCUCCCACUGCUUCCGCCUGCAGUAGUUCUGGCUGUGGCACGGAGGUGACGCAGAGCGCAGAGCAUGGUCAUAGGGGAAACCGUGAGGGCGCUCUGUAAGGCCCGUGCUAAGAGCAUGCCCAAGGUGUGGGGUGGAAGGCGGGGAUUGGCUCCGGGUUAGGUUCCUCCGGUCCUUGUCCGAUGUGCCGCCUACCGGAUGUGACUUUCCUAGGCCCUGGCCAGGAUUUAGGCCCUAUACUGCAAUGAUUCUGCCACCGGAAAGGAGGUUGUGAGCUGGUGAUCUGUCUCCUUUCACAAGUACCAAGUGAUAAGACAAGAGAAAAUGAACUCAGGCUGCACCAGAGAUAGAGAGUGUGGGACAAUGUCAGACCUAGCUGGCACAAACCCUUCGGGAGGAAGCAAAGAAAAUUGAGGAAUCCAAGGAAAAGUAAAAUCUGCAUUGGAAGAAGGUCAGGGUGUUGAUCCAUCCUCAUCCUUGGUGAUGGAUCCUGGCUCCUGGCUCAUGUCUCCCAACAUGUCCUAGCCCCCUGCAUGCUUCCAGUGCCUGCUGCUGCUAGGAUGUCCCAAACUCCUUCCAGUAUGUUGCAACCCCGCUGCUGAACCUCUAACUUCCUUCUUCUCACCUCUACAUCUUCUCCUUUGGGUGUCUAUUAGAGCCAGCUAUUGCAUGGGCUCAUCUCCAGAGACACGAGCCUCAAUCAGGAA